This 255-nucleotide long non-coding RNA is filed under the name Solanum tuberosum (potato). RNAcentral describes it as "long non-coding RNA (STUB_LNC002733)". The record is from RNAcentral. Lineage: Eukaryota; Viridiplantae; Streptophyta; Magnoliopsida; Solanales; Solanaceae.
AUACAACGUCUUAAACAUUACAAAGGAAAGAAGAAAAAGAAAACGAAGAAGUAGAAGUUAUAGAGUCAUCUCUGGUUGAAGACGACCUGUUAGAUCUAAUCCGUUGCAAGCACCGUCUAUCAUAAAUAGUAGAUUGAACAUAACUCAAGAAAAUUGUUAAAAUCAGAUUCAACAUUAUCAAAACUUUCUUCCAACAAGUGAUAAAUAAAGUUGCCAAACUCAUCAAUCGUAGCUAUUUUUCUCAAUAACAAUCGG